AAGAGGCGGGAAACGAUUAAACCCUAGUACCCAACCCUUUGAGAAAUUAUACCUUGUUCUUUUCAUCUUUCUCUAGCAUUGGCUUUCCGAUUUCUAUCUAAAAAUGGGAAUUAAGGGUUUAAUGAAGCUGUUGGCUGACAAUGCUCCAAGUGGAAUGAAAGAGCAAAAAUUCGAGAGCUAUUUCGGCCGUAAAAUAGCCAUCGAUGCUAGUAUGAGCAUUUACCAGUUCCUGAUUGUGGUAGGACGAAGCGGUACGGAAAUGCUCACUAACGAAGCUGGGGAAACUACUAGUCAUUUGGUUGGGAUGUUUUCGCGGACAAUUAGGCUUUUGGAAGCUGGAAUCAAGCCAGUUUAUGUUUUCGAUGGGAAGCCCCCUGAUUUGAAGAAACAAGAACUUGCAAAACGUUACUCUAGAAGGGAAGAUGCCACAGAUGACUUGGCUAAGGCUACAGAGGCUGGCAACAAGGAGGAUAUUGAAAAAUUCAGCAAGAGAACAGUAAAGGUUACACCGCAACACAAUGAUGAUUGCAAAAAGCUUCUCAGACUGAUGGGGGUACCUGCUAUUGAGGCUCCUUCUGAAGCGGAGGCUCAGUGUGCUGCACUUUGCAAGGCAGAAAAGGUCUAUGCUGUGGCCUCAGAAGAUAUGGAUUCCUUAACUUUUGGAGCUCCAAAGUUUCUUCGCCAUUUAAUGGAUCCUAGCUCCAAAAAGAUACCAGUGAUGGAAUUUGAUAUCUCCAAGGUAUUAGAGGAGCUCGAACUUAGUAUGGAUCAGUUCAUAGACUUGUGCAUUCUUUGUGGAUGUGAUUACUGCGAUAGCAUCCGAGGCAUAGGGCCCCAGACUGCUUUGAAGCUUGUACGCCAACAUGGGUCAAUGGAGAGCAUAUUGGAGAAUAUUAACAAAGAAAGAUAUCAAAUACCUGAUGAUUGGCCUUAUGAAGAGGCUAGGCGGCUCUUCAAGGAACCAUUAGUUGUUACAGAUGAUGAGCACACUGAACUAAAAUGGGCUGCUCCGGAUGAAGAAGGGUUGGUUAACUUUCUGGUAAAGGAAAAUGGAUUCAACAUUGAUAGAGUUACGAAGGCAAUAGAAAAGAUCAAAACAGCUAAGAACAAGUCUUCUCAGGGGAGGUUAGAAUCAUUCUUUAAACCAGUUAGCACAUCUGCUCCAGUUAAAAGAAAGGAAACAGCUCAGACCGCUGAGAAAGGAGGUGCUAACAAGAAAUCAAAGGCUGGUGGUGGUAAGAAGAAAAAGUAGUUAGCAUCAAGUCAAAGCUUGCAGUAAUGUGAUGGUUUCGUACUUGGUAAGGAAGGACAGUCAGAGUGGUCUAGUCAUAUUGCUGCUUGCGGAGUCCUUGGUAGCUGGUGCCUCAAUUUUGUUUGUUCUUCUGGAAGAAAAUAUUCCGAUUAGUCGGGCCUCCUUUCAAAUGUCUCCUUCAUUUCCUUGUCCCGUAUUCUUCCCUGUUAAUGUAUAAAUCUAGAUUAUCCUGAGGUUACCAUCCUGUGUGAAUUGGCAUUUCUGUCAGUUGCAUGUACAAUUUAAUGCAUAAAUCAAUCCUAAUCUAGCCCUUUGGUGGUUGA
RNA transcript from Lycium ferocissimum, 1575 nucleotides. It is a transcript of the gene named flap endonuclease 1, with no coding region annotated. Lineage: Eukaryota; Viridiplantae; Streptophyta; Magnoliopsida; Solanales; Solanaceae. The transcript has 18 exons. The record is from RefSeq and is a predicted model, not a curated record.